AUGAUGUCCCUUUCUCCUCUACCAAUCUUGAAGCUGGUAUGUCGUCUUCUGAUUUGCAAGACCAAGGGGCGUCAAGAAGAGACUGAGCGUGCGACAUCAGCUAACUCUGAACAAAAGGGAGUGGAGCCGAUGAAAAAUAGGAAGCACAACCAUGUCGCUUUGGCUCUCGAGGACUACAUAGAUUUUUGGAAGAAGCAAGCUGCAAAAUUGGAUGAAGAGUUAAAGGAAUCAAAGCAAUAUAACUUUCUUCUUGAUAUUUGUAGCGAUGGGCUGUAG
RNAcentral lists this ribosomal RNA (276 nucleotides) under Triticum aestivum (bread wheat). RNAcentral describes it as "partial small subunit ribosomal RNA". Lineage: Eukaryota; Viridiplantae; Streptophyta; Magnoliopsida; Poales; Poaceae. The record is from RNAcentral.